RNAcentral lists this ribosomal RNA (406 nucleotides) under uncultured bacterium. RNAcentral describes it as "partial 16S ribosomal RNA". It matches the Rfam family "Bacterial small subunit ribosomal RNA", at positions 30 to 526 of the family's 1533-position model. The record is from RNAcentral.
AUUGAACGCUGGCGGCAGGCCUAACACAUGCAAGUCGAACGAGUGGCGGACGUGUGAGUAAUGUCUGGGAAACUGCCUGAUGGAGGGGGAUAACUACUGGAAACGGUAGCUAAUACCACAUACCCUCAGAUGUGCCCCGAUGGGCUUAGCUUGUGGGUGGGGUAACGGCUCACCAAGGCGCCGAUCCCUAGCUGGUCUGAGAGGAUGACCAGCCAAACGGGAACUGAGACACGGUCCAGACUCCUACGGGAGGCAGCAGGGGGGAAUAUUGCACAAUGGGCGCAAGCCUGAUGCAGCGAUGCCGCGUGGAUGAAGAAGGCCUUCGGGUGGUAAAGUACUUUCAGCGGGGAGGCGUUACCCGCAGAAGAAGCACCGGCUAACUACGUGCCAGCAGCCGCGGUAAUAC